This 253-nucleotide ribosomal RNA is filed under the name uncultured bacterium. RNAcentral's name for it is "partial 16S ribosomal RNA". It matches the Rfam family "Bacterial small subunit ribosomal RNA", at positions 524 to 776 of the family's 1533-position model. The record is from RNAcentral.
CACGUAGGGUGCAAGCGUUGUCCGGAAUUAUUGGGCGUAAAGGGCGCGUAGGCGGCCAUGUAAGUCGGGUGUGAAAUCCCAAGGCUCAACCUUGGAACUGCAUUCGAUACUGUGUGGCUAGAGACCGGAAGAGGUGGGUGGAAUACCCAGUGUAGAGGUGAAAUUCGUAGAUAUUGGGUGGAACACCGGUGGCGAAGGCGGCUCACUGGUCCGGUUCUGACGCUGAGGCGCGAAAGCGUGGGGAGCAAACAGG